Molecule: long non-coding RNA, 779 nt
Organism: Oryza brachyantha (malo sina)
Lineage: Eukaryota; Viridiplantae; Streptophyta; Magnoliopsida; Poales; Poaceae
Exons: 4
Source: RefSeq, a predicted model, not a curated record
GAGAAAUUUGAGAUUUAGUGCAAGUGGACCGUGUUCAAGGGAUAAAUUAAGGGUUCCAAAAAAAGGGCCUUCAUCUUCCACAUCUCCAAGCUCACAGACUCCACUUCUCCUACCCUCAAAUAAAGUUGCUGAGGCUUUGCCAUCUGCAGAUCCUGAGAAAAUUUUCUGCAGAAUGAUGAUGACCAGUGACCUUCUGAAGAGCGCUUACCAAGUUGGAAGAGACAAUUAAGAUGUACCAUGCAACUGGACUGACUCAUAAUGGCAAUGGGUCAGCUCAACAUGAAUGCUUUUGAGUGCUUGAAUGAUGUUAAGUCAAUGUCGUCUUAUGCCUGAGACAUCUCUCUGAAGGCAGUGCAUAUCCAGCCCUGAUAUCAGCAUUCCUUUUAUUGAAGUGACCAUAAAUGGUGUUUGGGUGCGAAAGGGCCCGUAGCCUAGUGGUUACAAGGGUCUCAGUAGCACGCUUUGUGCUUUCAGGGGUAGAUGUUGUCCCCGCUGAUCAGGCUAGCUGAAGCUCAAGAAAAGAGCAACGUAUAAUCAUUCAUGAAUGGAGAGUAUUCGAUGCCUGCAAUGUUGCACUUUCUAUGAUGGCUGCUAUGGAGAGUGUCAGCUGGUCAUUACCAUUAGGGGUUAGUAUAUGUUGUAGUGUUGGAAUAUAUUUCUUGGAAGUAGAAUUGCAUGUUCUUUCUUUGAAUCAAUAAAUUUGAAACUCACAUAUCUGUAAAUAAACAAUUUGGUGAACUAUUGUGGAUUUUAUAUUGUCAGAAAUUCUAAAUGGUACA